Non-coding RNA from Plectropomus leopardus (leopard coralgrouper), 346 nucleotides. The record is from RefSeq and is a predicted model, not a curated record. NCBI's taxonomy places the organism in Eukaryota, Metazoa, Chordata, Actinopteri, Perciformes, Serranidae.
AAGUCUCUGUGUCCAGACACGUGGCCUAACUGGCAGGGGAAACUGUCUGACGGAGUGGCCACACUGGUCAAACACCUGGGAUACAAGCCUGAGGAGUACAAACUGGGCAGAUCCAAAAUCUUCAUCCGUUUCCCAAAGACGUUGUUUGCCACCGAGGAUGCACUAGAGACCAGGAAACACAGUCUCGCCACAAAGCUGCAGGCGGGAUGGAGAGGCUACAGCCAGAAGUCCAAAUACCAAAAAUUCAGAACCUCAGCUAUUGCCAUCCAGGCGUGGUGGAGAGGGAUCCUGGCGAGGAGGAGAGCCCAGCGCAGGCGACAGGCGGCCGAUACCAUCCGCAGGUACA